UACAGAGGCCACAAGCGUUAGUCGGAAUCACUGGGCUUAAAGGGUGCGUAGGCGGCUCGAAAAGUGCUUUGUGAAAUCCCGGGGCUCAACCCCGGAACAGCAGGGCAUACUUUCGAGCUCGAGGCAGGUAGGGGUCGCGAGAACAGUAGGUGGAGCGGUGAAAUGCGUAGAUAUCUACUGGAAUGCCGAUGGUGAAGACGCGCGACUGGGCCUGUCCUGACGCUGAGGCACGAAAGCGUGGGGAGCAAACAGG
This 253-nucleotide ribosomal RNA is filed under the name uncultured bacterium. RNAcentral's name for it is "partial 16S ribosomal RNA". It matches the Rfam family "Bacterial small subunit ribosomal RNA", at positions 524 to 776 of the family's 1533-position model. The record is from RNAcentral.